Molecule: ribosomal RNA, 162 nt
Filed under: uncultured bacterium
Lineage: Bacteria
Description: partial 16S ribosomal RNA
Rfam family: Bacterial small subunit ribosomal RNA
Source: RNAcentral
UGGGGAAUAUUGGACAAUGGGCGAAAGCCUGAUCCAGCCAUGCCGCGUGUAGUGAAGAAGGUCUUCGGAUUGUAAAGCACUUUAAGUUGGGAGGAAGGGCAGUAAGUUAAUACCUUGCUGUUUUGACGUUACCGACAGAAUAAGCACCGGCUAACUGUGUGC